This 1399-nucleotide ribosomal RNA is filed under the name uncultured bacterium. RNAcentral describes it as "16S ribosomal RNA". It matches the Rfam family "Bacterial small subunit ribosomal RNA". The record is from RNAcentral.
AGAGUUUGAUCCUGGCUCAGGAUGAACGCUAGCUACAGGCUUAACACAUGCAAGUCGAGGGGCAGCAUUUCAGUUUGCUUGCAAACUGGAGAUGGCGACCGGCGCACGGGUGAGUAACACGUAUCCAACCUGCCGAUAACUCGGGGAUAGCCUUUCGAAAGAAAGAUUAAUACCCGAUGGCAUAAUUAGACCGCAUGGUCUUAUUAUUAAAGAAUUUCGGUUAUCGAUGGGGAUGCGUUCCAUUAGGCAGUUGGUGAGGUAACGGCUCACCAAACCUUCGAUGGAUAGGGGUUCUGAGAGGAAGGUCCCCCACAUUGGAACUGAGACACGGUCCAAACUCCUACGGGAGGCAGCAGUGAGGAAUAUUGGUCAAUGGACGAGAGUCUGAACCAGCCAAGUAGCGUGAAGGAUGAAGGUUCUAUGGAUUGUAAACUUCUUUUAUACGGGAAUAAACGGAUCCACGUGUGGAUUUUUGCAUGUACCGUAUGAAUAAGGAUCGGCUAACUCCGUGCCAGCAGCCGCGGUAAUACGGAGGAUCCGAGCGUUAUCCGGAUUUAUUGGGUUUAAAGGGAGCGUAGAUGGGUUGUUAAGUCAGUUGUGAAAGUUUGCGGCUCAACCGUAAAAUUGCAAUUGAUACUGGCAGUCUUGAGUACAGUUGAGGUAGGCGGAAUUCGUGGUGUAGCGGUGAAAUGCUUAGAUAUCACGAAGAACUCCGAUUGCGAAGGCAGCUUACUAACCUGUAACUGACAUUGAUGCUCGAAAGUGUGGGUAUCAAACAGGAUUAGAUACCCUGGUAGUCCACACGGUAAACGAUGAAUACUCGCUGUAGGCGAUAUACAGUCUGCGGCCAAGCGAAAGCAUUAAGUAUUCCACCUGGGGAGUACGCCGGCAACGGUGAAACUCAAAGGAAUUGACGGGGGCCCGCACAAGCGGAGGAACAUGUGGUUUAAUUCGAUGAUACGCGAGGAACCUUACCCGGGCUUAAAUUGCAACCGAAUAUGGCGGAAACGCUAUAGCUAGCAAUAGCGGUUGUGAAGGUGCUGCAUGGUUGUCGUCAGCUCGUGCCGUGAGGUGUCGGCUUAAGUGCCAUAACGAGCGCAACCCUUGCCGAUAGUUACUAACAGGUUAUGCUGAGGACUCUGUCGGGACUGCCAUCGUAAGAUGUGAGGAAGGUGGGGAUGACGUCAAAUCAGCACGGCCCUUACGUCCGGGGCUACACACGUGUUACAAUGGGGGGUACAGAGGGCUGCUACCACGCAAGUGGAUGCCAAUCCCAAAAACCUCUCUCAGUUCGGAUUGAAGUCUGCAACCCGACUUCAUGAAGCUGGAUUCGCUAGUAAUCGCGCAUCAGCCACGGCGCGGUGAAUACGUUCCCGGGCCUUGCACACACCGCCCGUCA